CGCUUAUUAAAAUAAAAAAAAAUAAAAAUAAAAUAGCAAGCGAGGCUCUAGUUCACGAUAUUUCGCUCCAGAUGUUUUGUAGUCUGUAACUUGACGUUUUUAGAAAACCAUCAGGGAAACUGAGGCGGUGGUAUAUGGAGUAUCUCCAUGUGCCACACUUUGUCCUAAAAUCUCUCACAUUCCUGCAUCUAGAUCUGAUGCUAGCUCAUUGUUUUUCUUCGUUCUUUUAAGUUCUUCCUUUUGCCUCUCUCUUGUUCUCCCAGAUCUAGAUCUGAUGCUACGCAGCCACCAUCUUCCUGAAACUCUGCUGUACUCGCAACGACUCUGCAAAGAAGUAUCCAAAGAAUCCAAUACUUGGUAUUGAUCUCAUCACUUAGACCACCAGCAUCCCUCCACCUCUAGCUUGCUCACCCUCAUUUAGGAAAAAUUUGGUAUUGAUUUUUCUAGGGUUGUGGAUAUAUUUAAAGGGAAAUUUAUCAUUAAAUAUAUUAGAGAGUCCUCCUUAAUGGGUUUUGGAAGCAAAGUUUGCAAUAUGAAUUUGAGGUUGGUUUGUAAGCUGCUUUAGGUCACAGAGUUAUGUGGUAAUCUCAUUCCCUCCAGUGAAGGAAGUUGUAACCUUUACGAGGAAUUCCAACAUGUGCAAGGAUCCCAUCGUGCGGUUCUAGCAUCUGUUGUCGUGGUUGCAGUAAUUGAUCUGCAAUUGUAUUUCAGGCAGUUGGUAGGAAAGCGUUGAGAUGGGUAUUAGUGAGCCUUGGAUUACUAAAGCAUUGAAGAUGGAAUUUCAUCUCAUUGGAUCAUCCCCAAGAGUAGCUUGAAGAGUAAUAGAGAUUUUCUUGUACUUACAUAUUAUUUACUAGAUAGCAUUGUUCAUUUCAUUA
Long non-coding RNA from Prunus persica (peach), 878 nucleotides. RefSeq lists it as uncharacterized. The transcript is spliced from 6 exons. NCBI's taxonomy places the organism in Eukaryota, Viridiplantae, Streptophyta, Magnoliopsida, Rosales, Rosaceae. The record is from RefSeq and is a predicted model, not a curated record.